GAUGAACGCUGGCGGCGUGCCUAAUACAUGCAAGUCGAGCGAACAGAUAAGGAGCUUGCUCCUUUGACGUUAGCGGCGGACGGGUGAGUAACACGUGGGUAACCUACCUAUAAGACUGGGAUAACUUCGGGAAACCGGAGCUAAUACCGGAUAACAUUUGGAACCGCAUGGUUCUAAAGUGAAAGAUGGUUUUGCUAUCACUUAUAGAUGGACCCGCGCCGUAUUAGCUAGUUGGUAAGGUAACGGCUUACCAAGGCGACGAUACGUAGCCGACCUGAGAGGGUGAUCGGCCACACUGGAACUGAGACACGGUACAGACUCCUACGGGAGGCAGCAGUAGGGAAUCUUCCGCAAUGGGCGAAAGCCUGACGGAGCAACGCCGCGUGAGUGAUGAAGGGUUUCGGCUCGUAAAACUCUGUUAUUAGGGAAGAACAAACGUGUAAGUAACUGUGCACGUCUUGACGGUGCCUAAUCAGAAAGCCACGGCUAACUACGUG
RNAcentral lists this ribosomal RNA (497 nucleotides) under uncultured bacterium. RNAcentral's name for it is "partial 16S ribosomal RNA". It matches the Rfam family "Bacterial small subunit ribosomal RNA", at positions 28 to 507 of the family's 1533-position model. The record is from RNAcentral.